GCGGCGGCGCCCGGGGGACGGGUCUGCGCCCCAUCARGYWGACGGSGGGGGUGAAAGGCCCACCGUGGCGACGACGGGUAGCCGSCCCGAGAGGGUGGACGGCCACAUUGGGRCUGAGAACGGCCCAGACUCCUACGGGAGGCGGCAGCUAAGGAUCUUCCGCAAUGGGCGAAAGCCUGACGGAGCGACGCCGCGUGGACGAUGGAGGCCGUGAGGUUGUAAAGUCCUUUUCCGUGGGGUGAAGAGCCGUGCCAGGGAAUAGGUGCGGGGUGACGUGACCACGGGAAUAAGCCCCGGCUAACUACGUGCCAGCAGCCGCGGUAACACGUAGGGGGCGAGCGUUGUUCGGAAUCAUUGGGCGUAAAGGGCGCGCAGGCGGCUGCGGGAGCCCGGCGUGAAAUCCACAGGCCCAACCUGUGGGGGUCGCCGGGGACUCCGCGGCUGGAGUCCAGGAAGCGGUUCAGGAAUUCCCGGUGUAGGGGUGAAAUCUGUAGGGAAUCGGGAAGAACACCAAUGGGAAGGCGUGGGCCGGGCCAUGGACUGACGYUGAGGCGCGAAGG
Molecule: ribosomal RNA, 560 nt
Filed under: uncultured Spirochaetia bacterium
Lineage: Bacteria; Pseudomonadati; Spirochaetota; Spirochaetia
Description: bacterial SSU rRNA
Rfam family: Bacterial small subunit ribosomal RNA
Source: RNAcentral